This 253-nucleotide ribosomal RNA is filed under the name uncultured prokaryote. RNAcentral's name for it is "partial 16S ribosomal RNA". It matches the Rfam family "Bacterial small subunit ribosomal RNA", at positions 524 to 776 of the family's 1533-position model. The record is from RNAcentral.
GACGAAGGUGGCAAGCGUUGUUCGGAAUUAUUGGGCUUAAAGCGCAUGCAGGCGGGAAGUUAAGUGUUCUGUGAAAUCCCUCGGCUUAACCGAGGACUAGCGGGGCAAACUGGCUUUCUUGAGGCAAGUAGGGGUGUAUGGAACUCUAGGUGGAGCGGUGAAAUGCGUAGAUAUCUAGAGGAACGCCAGCGGAGAAAUCGGUACACUGGGCUUGUUCUGACGCUGAGGUGCGAAAGCGUGGGUAGCGAACGGG